This 84-nucleotide transfer RNA is filed under the name Felis catus (domestic cat). It matches the Rfam family "tRNA". Rfam says of the family: Transfer RNA (tRNA) molecules are approximately 80 nucleotides in length. Lineage: Eukaryota; Metazoa; Chordata; Mammalia; Carnivora; Felidae. The record is from Rfam by way of RNAcentral.
GCCUGGGUGGCUCAGUUGGAUAAGCGUCUGACUUCAGCUCAGGUCACAAUCUCAGGUUUGUGGGUUUGAGCCCCACGUCAGGCU